AGAGUUUGAUCCUGGCUCAGGAUGAACGCUGGCGGCGUGCCUAACACAUGCAAGUCGAGCGUGAACCCUUAGAAUGAAACUUCGGUCGAAUGAAGAGGGGGAAAGCGGCGGACGGGUGAGUAACGCGUAGGCAACCUGCCCCGUACAGAGGGAUAGCCUCGGGAAACCGGGAUUAAAACCUCAUAAUACCAUGGUAUCACAUGAUGCAAUGGUCAAAGAUUUAUCGGUAUGGGAUGGGCCUGCGUCUGAUUAGCUGGUUGGUGGGGUAACGGCCUACCAAGGCAACGAUCAGUAGCCGACCUGAGAGGGUAAUCGGCCACAUUGGAACUGAGACACGGUCCAAACUCCUACGGGAGGCAGCAGUGGGGAAUAUUGCACAAUGGGCGAAAGCCUGAUGCAGCAACGCCGCGUGAGCGAAGAAGGCCUUUGGGUCGUAAAGCUCUGUCGGGAAGGAAGAUAAUGACGGUACUUCCCGAGGAAGCCCCGGCUAACUACGUGCCAGCAGCCGCGGUAAUACGUAGGGGGCGAGCGUUAUCCGGAAUUAUUGGGCGUAAAGAGUGCGUAGGUGGUUGUUUAAGCGUGGGGUGAAAGGCAAUGGCUUAACCAUUGUGAGCCUCGCGAACUGGGCGACUUGAGUGCAGGAGAGGAAAGCGGAAUUCCUAGUGUAGCGGUGAAAUGCGUAGAUAUUAGGAGGAACACCAGUGGCGAAGGCGGCUUUCUGGACUGUAACUGACACUGAGGCACGAAAGCGUGGGGAGCAAACAGGAUUAGAUACCCUGGUAGUCCACGCCGUAAACGAUGAGCACUAGGUGUCGGGGCCGCAAGGCUUCGGUGCCGCAGUUAACGCAUUAAGUGCUCCGCCUGGGGAGUACGCACGCAAGUGUGAAACUUAAAUGAAUUGACGG
RNAcentral lists this ribosomal RNA (905 nucleotides) under uncultured bacterium. RNAcentral describes it as "bacterial SSU rRNA". It matches the Rfam family "Bacterial small subunit ribosomal RNA", at positions 8 to 916 of the family's 1533-position model. The record is from RNAcentral.